Molecule: ribosomal RNA, 253 nt
Filed under: uncultured bacterium
Lineage: Bacteria
Description: partial 16S ribosomal RNA
Rfam family: Bacterial small subunit ribosomal RNA
Source: RNAcentral
UACGUAGGUGGCAAGCGUUGUCCGGAUUUACUGGGUGUAAAGGGCGUGCAGCCGGGCUGACAAGUCAGAUGUGAAAUCCCGCGGCUCAACCGCGGAACUGCAUUUGAAACUGUCAGUCUUGAGUACCGGAGAGGUCAUCGGAAUUCCUUGUGUAGCGGUGAAAUGCGUAGGUAUAAGGAAGAACACCAGUGGCGAAGGCGGAUGACUGGACGGCAACUGACGGUGAGGCGCGAAAGCGUGGGGAGCAAACAGG